UCCGGUUUGUCACCGGCAGUCUCAUUAGAGUGCCCAACUGAAUGUAGCAACUAAUGACAAGGGUUGCGCUCGUUGCGGGACUUAACCCAACAUCUCACGACACGAGCUGACGACAGCCAUGCAGCACCUGUGUUACGGCUCCCUUUCGGGCACACCCCCCUCUCGAGAGGCUUCCGUACAUGUCAAGGGUAGGUAAGGUGGGGAUGACGUAGCUAAGCCUUC
This 222-nucleotide unclassified non-coding RNA is filed under the name uncultured Gammaproteobacteria bacterium. RNAcentral describes it as "contains 16S-23S intergenic spacer region". Lineage: Bacteria; Pseudomonadati; Pseudomonadota; Gammaproteobacteria. The record is from RNAcentral.